Molecule: ribosomal RNA, 460 nt
Filed under: uncultured bacterium
Lineage: Bacteria
Description: partial 16S ribosomal RNA
Rfam family: Bacterial small subunit ribosomal RNA
Source: RNAcentral
CCUACGGGAGGCCGCAGUGAGGAAUAUUGGUCAAUGGGCGCGAGCCUGAACCAGCCAAGUAGCGUGACGGAUGACUGCCCUACGGGUUGUACACUUCUUUUAUAAAGGCAUACAGUGAGGCACGUGUGCCUUUUUGUAUGUACUUUAUGAAUAAGGAUCGGCUAACUCCGUGCCAGCAGCCGCGGUAAUACGGAGGAUCCGAGCGUUAUCCGGAUUUAUUGGGUUUAAAGGGAGCGUAGAUGGGUUGUUAAGUCAGUUGUGAAAGUUUGCGGCUCAACCGUAAAAUUGCAAUUGAUACUGGCAGUCUUGAGUACAGUUGAGGUAGGCGGAAUUCGUGGUGUAGCGGUGAAAUGCUUAGAGAUCACGAAGAACUCCGAUUGCGAAGGCAGCUUACUAAACUGCCACUGACAUUGAUGCUCGAAAGUGUGGGUAUCAAACAGGAUUAGAUACCCGGGUAGUC